This 301-nucleotide ribosomal RNA is filed under the name uncultured bacterium. RNAcentral describes it as "partial 16S ribosomal RNA". It matches the Rfam family "Bacterial small subunit ribosomal RNA", at positions 509 to 807 of the family's 1533-position model. The record is from RNAcentral.
CAGCAGCCACGGUAAUACGAAGGGGGCUAGCGUUGCUCGGAAUGACUGGGCGUAAAGGGCGCGUAGGCGGUUUGUACAGUUGGAUGUGAAAUUCCUGGGCUUAACCUGGGGGCUGCAUUCAAUACGUGCAGGCUUGAGUGUGGAAGAGGGUUGUGGAAUUCCCAGUGUAGAGGUGAAAUUCGUAGAUAUUGGGAAGAACACCGGUGGCGAAGGCGGCGACCUGGUCCUUGACUGACGCUGAGGCGCGAAAGCGUGGGGAGCAAACAUGAUUAGAUACCCCCGUAGUCCCUGUCUCUUAUAC